CGAACUGCGGCCUCGAGCCCCGCCCUCCCCUCCCCCACGCCGACCGCCUCCCUAAGGGGGCACGGCCGGAGGAGGAAAAAAGUUGCAGGCUCGAACUCUGCCCCCUGCUGGCCGUCAGUGGGAUUGCAGAGCCGUCCUCAAGAGAGUCUGGUCCUCUGAAAGGCAAAGUCACUAUGCAAUCCGAAACAAAAAAUGAACCAACACUCUAAAAACUGGCUAUCUGGAAAUCUCUAGUGAAAAGUUGCUGAGAAGAAAAUGCCUAGAACAAGGUUCCUGAGUAGCCGGGACAGUAGGCCUAGGCCACCAGGCUCAAAAAGAGGCUACUGUCUUGAAGGCCAGAGUCCUCAGCCUGAGAAGAACCAAGACCACCCAUCACCAUCACCACCCCAGUCUGACUAUCACCGUACAUUCUCUC
Molecule: long non-coding RNA, 415 nt
Organism: Grammomys surdaster
Lineage: Eukaryota; Metazoa; Chordata; Mammalia; Rodentia; Muridae
Exons: 3
Source: RefSeq, a predicted model, not a curated record